CUUAUCAUUUCACGUAGAGAGAGAGAGAGAGAGAGAGAGAGAGAGACGGCAGGAAGAGGGGAGAGAAAGGGAGGAGGAGGUCACGGCUAAGGGGAGGGAGGAAGGAGAGGUCCGUUUUCGACGAUCCAACUCGGUGACAAGUAUCGAGCCGGUCUUUUAGGAGGUGCCGAAACCGUAAGUUUGGCAUACUCCAGUCGAAUGAAAGGUAGCAGGUGGCUUAGAGUGGGUCCACUACUGGUCAACGCCUUGGAGAGUGCUGAGACUCGUGUUGGGUGAUGUCUUUGGUUAGAUUGUUGUGUAGCUGAUUCGUCUAGAAGUUCACCUACAUGUUAUGUAAUUAAUUGGAGAGAGGGAUAUUCAUUAUAACUUGUGAGUUGAGGUUUUGGCGUUGACUUGGUUGUAUUUUAAGUGAGAAGUCUUCCGCU
Long non-coding RNA from Rhododendron vialii, 425 nucleotides. RefSeq lists it as uncharacterized. The record is from RefSeq and is a predicted model, not a curated record. The transcript has 3 exons. NCBI's taxonomy places the organism in Eukaryota, Viridiplantae, Streptophyta, Magnoliopsida, Ericales, Ericaceae.